Small nuclear RNA from Panthera pardus (leopard), 84 nucleotides. Its record names the gene U4. It matches the Rfam family "U4 spliceosomal RNA". From Rfam's summary of the family: U4 small nuclear RNA (U4 snRNA) is a component of the major U2-dependent spliceosome. The structure of U4 snRNA from yeast and human has been reported. The record is from Ensembl. Lineage: Eukaryota; Metazoa; Chordata; Mammalia; Carnivora; Felidae.
AGCUUUUCACAGUGGCAGUAUCGUAGCCAAUGAGGUUUAUCCAAGGCGCGAUUAUUGCUAAUUGAAAACUUUUCCCAAAUGGGC